AUGUAAUAUUAUAUUAAAUUAAAAAAAUAUUUAUGGUCUCUUUGAUAAGGAUAAGACCACGAUGAAUUUUAAAAACUAAAAGCUGAAUAUAUACAUAUAUACAUACAUGUAUAUGUAUAUAAUACAUACAUAUAUAUAUAUAUAUAUAUAUAUAUAUAUAUAUAUAUUUUUGUAAGCUUAUAUGUUAUUUACUUUCAUAUUUAACAUACAUUUACUGAUAUCAUAAGAAUUUUGUAAUUACAAAGGCUAUUGUUUGAAAGGAUUAUAAAAAGAUUAACAACUCCAAAGCAAUGAAGUUAUAAUUUUUUAAUAUAGGAAGAUUAUUAUUAUUUUAUGAAUAUAACAAAGAGUCAUAUAUUAUAUGAAUUGAGGAUGUAUUCAAAUAUUUUAUUUUUUAACAGUGAACAUUUUGUGUAAAUGUGAUUAAAUGUUAAUGUUUUUAGAGUUAUGAGUUAAGGUUGAACAGUUGUAGAAUUGUGAGUAUAGAUUAAAUUUUUUUUGACUGAGAUAAAUUAUAACUAGUGUAUCUAAUUUUUUUUUAUUAAAGUUAAUUGUAUAAUGCAUAUAAUUAGAUUGUUGUAAUUAUUAAACGUUGGAUGUAGUGUUGUAGUAGUUUAUAUAUAUUAAUUAUAUUUUGUAGCACACUUAAAUUAAUAUAUAUUUUAAAGGAUUAUUCAUGGAAGGUACACUACAAUUUUAAUGUUAUAUAAAUUAAGAUAAUCAUAAAUUAAAUUUUAAAUAGUAUUAUGUUUAAAAUUAUACACAUUAGGAUUUUUAUUAAUUUGUUUAAAAAAAUAAAAAAUGUUUUACGUUAUAUAAUAUGAUAAAUAAACAAAGAAAAAAAAAAAAA
Molecule: small RNA, 850 nt
Filed under: Plasmodium billcollinsi
Lineage: Eukaryota; Apicomplexa; Aconoidasida; Haemosporida; Plasmodiidae
Description: Plasmodium sp. DRC-Itaito ncRNA
Source: RNAcentral